RNAcentral lists this ribosomal RNA (399 nucleotides) under uncultured bacterium. Its description in RNAcentral is "partial 16S ribosomal RNA". It matches the Rfam family "Bacterial small subunit ribosomal RNA", at positions 360 to 776 of the family's 1533-position model. The record is from RNAcentral.
AAUCUUGCGCAAUGGGCGAAAGCCUGACGCAGCCAUGCCGCGUGAAUGAUGAAGGUCNNNGGAUUNUAAAAUUCUUUCACCUGNGACNAUAAUGACGGUACCCGGAGAAGAAGCCCCGGCUAACUUCGUGCCAGCAGCCGCGGUAAUACGAAGGGGGCUAGCGUUGCUCGGAAUUACUGGGCGUAAAGGGCGCGUAGGCGGAUCGUUAAGUCAGGGGUGAAAUCCCGGGGCUCAACCUCGGAAUUGCCCUUGAUACUGGCGAUCUUGAGUAUGAGAGAGGUAUGUGGAACUCCGAGUGUAGAGGUGAAAUUCGUAGAUAUUCGGAAGAACACCAGUGGCGAAGGCGACAUACUGGCUCAUUACUGACGCUGAGGCGCGAAAGCGUGGGGAGCAAACAGG